UACAGAGGUCCCAAGCGUUGUUCGGAUUCACUGGGCGUAAAGGGUGCGUAGGCGGUCGGGUAAGUCUGACGUGAAAUCUCCGGGCCUAACCCGGAAACUGCGUUGGAUACUAUCCGGCUAGAGGAAUGGAGGGGAGACUGGAAUACUUGGUGUAGCAGUGAAAUGCGUAGAUAUCAAGUGGAACACCAGUGGCGAAGGCGAGUCUCUGGACAUUUCCUGACGCUGAGGCACGAAAGCCAGGGGAGCAAACGGG
RNAcentral lists this ribosomal RNA (253 nucleotides) under uncultured bacterium. RNAcentral describes it as "partial 16S ribosomal RNA". It matches the Rfam family "Bacterial small subunit ribosomal RNA", at positions 524 to 776 of the family's 1533-position model. The record is from RNAcentral.